AUGGAAAGACAACUGCUGAUUUUAACCAUGAUUUUAGGUGUGAUGACUGCAGACCAGAUUGGUCCAAAUAAAGAAACAUUAAUUACACAGAAUGAAGAAGAAACUGUGACACUGAGCUGCUCAUAUGACACAAGCAGCAGUUAUGUUGAUCUUUACUGGUACAGGCAGUAUCCAGAUAAAGAACCUCAGUAUUUAAUAUGGAAACCUGCACGAUCAAGCAGUGGAGGUGGGACCCCCUCUGAUCCUCGUUUUCAGUCAACUACAUCACAAACAUCCACUGAAUUCUCUAUUAAUGGUGUGACUCUGUCAGAUUCAGCUCUUUAUUACUGUGCUCUAAGAGUAGCAGCCCAGUGA
This is a non-coding RNA of Xyrauchen texanus (razorback sucker), 354 nucleotides long. NCBI's taxonomy places the organism in Eukaryota, Metazoa, Chordata, Actinopteri, Cypriniformes, Catostomidae. The record is from the annotation of a RefSeq genome assembly.